CACACCUUCUCUUUAUUUGUUCACUGGUCUGUUGAGACACUGGGCUGCUGGCCAGGCUACAGAGAGGAAGAGGGUUCAAGGGAGCUCAUGCCUCCUGGGAGUGGCAAACAGGAAGCGAAAGAAUUGCAAUGCAUUGGGAUAAAUGUUGGGCCAUGAGGAUGUGUCAUGGAUAAUGGGAACCCAGGAAAACAGCCCCGCCCUGUCUGGGGAAAUUGAUGGAAGACCUUCCAAGACACGAGUCCAUUUUAAUUGAUCUCCCAGACAAGCAAAGGGAGCGUGUGACUGGUAUUAAAGUCCAUUGGAAAUGUGAA
Molecule: long non-coding RNA, 311 nt
Organism: Odocoileus virginianus texanus
Lineage: Eukaryota; Metazoa; Chordata; Mammalia; Artiodactyla; Cervidae
Source: RefSeq, a predicted model, not a curated record